GCAGAUUCAGAAAAUUUCUGCAGAAAUUGCAGGUCAAUCAGAGUAUGAUGACUCAUCGUCAACUGUCAUAGUGAAUGAAAACGAUCUUUCACUGAAGAAACUUGAGGAGUACCAAAUUGAGCUACAAAGGCUACACAAGGAGAAGGUAUUUUAACAAUGAACCAAUAAUCGUUUGUGGGAUACGAAUUUGGUACAAGUCAAAUUGAUAAGCUCUAAUUUUAUGUUUCUCUUUUGUUGAUCAUGAAGAGUGACAGGCUCCAGAGAGUGGAAAAAUACAUAAGUACAGUUCAAAACCUGUCUACAACAUUGGGGAUGGAUUCAUCUGUGAUCAUCACAAAGGUUCAUCCAAGCUUGAAUGAAUUGUGUGGAAUAUCUAAAAACAUAAGUGACAGUAUUCUGGCUAAACUCAACAGCACCGUGGAGUCUCUUGAGGAAGAAAAGAAAACACGGCUUGAGAAGGUGAAACUUACUUAUGCUGUUGUUCUUUCCUUUGCAUUGGAGCCUGGUCUUAUUCAAGGGUAGGACCUAGCACCUGUGCUGCAGCAAAACAUGCUUAUUUAAAUACUGCCUUCAUGAGGAGUGGCUGUGAAACCAUGCAAAUACACAAUUACAUAUAAUUUAGAAUAUGAAUUCAAAGCAAAUCUAGUGCACAGCAGAGAACACAAAUGAAUUGCUUCAACUUGUCUUUUUUUAAAUAUGAAGCUCAUUAAUCAAAUCAAGCAUGAGAAAGAUAAAUGUGGUUCUCAAUGAAUUUUGACCUUUUGCAGCUUCACCAUCUCGGUAAAGCAUUGACAAACUUGUGGAAUCUUAUGGACACACCCUAUGAAGACAGGCAGUUAUUUUCUCAUGUUACCAAAUUAUUAUCUGUCUCAUCAGCAGAAAUAUCUAAUCCUGGAAGCCUCACCCUCGAUACAAUAAAGCAGGUCAGUGUCCGUAUCAUAUAAGACACCCAAAACUUAAAAGGCAUCAAAAUCACAACUAGGAUUUAAUGGUAUUUCAAAUUGUUACAAGGCUGAGGCUGAAGUGGAGAGACUGGAUCACCUAAAAGCAAGCAAGAUGAAAGAGCUUUUCCUUAAGAAACAAAUUGAGCUUGAGGAAAUAUGCAAUAGAUCACACAUGGAGAUACCUUCACAGUCAGAGAUGGACAACAUAAUGAACCUUAUUAACUCUGGUAAGAUCAAGUUUUUUUUUCAAAUAAAAAUUAUGAUGUUGCUCUUCUCUACAACUAUGCUAGCUCACAACCUGACUCAAAUGUGCGAAAGGGGAGAUUGACCACGCUGAUCUCCUCAUGAGCAUGGAUGAACAGAUAUCAAGAGCUAGAGAAGAAGCUUCUAGCAGGAAGACAAUAAUGGAGAAGGUGGAAAAGUGGAUGUUAGCACGUGAUGAGGAGCGCUGGUUGGAAGAAUACAUGAGAGUUAGUUUCUACCCAUUGAUUGACAUGAUAUGUUGGCUCCAACUUCUGCAUCUGCUUAAUUUUUUCUAUUAAAUUCUUGUUUUCAGGAUGAGAACCGAUAUUCAGUUAGCAGAGGUGCUCACAGGAACCUAAAACGUGCAGAACGAGCACGGAUUACAGUUAACAAACUCCCUGGUGAGUUCCUUAGUCUUAUAAUUCAAACCCAACAUAAAGUUAGAUGCCAAGAGGGAAUUGCAUUCACAUAACCUAAAUGUGCAGAAACAAUCCAAAUUACAAUUUUGGGCUUAAAAAAUGAAAUAUGUAAUUGGCAAGAAGAUUUGGCAACAAUUUCCCUAAUCAGAAUCAGUGAAAUCAUAUGAGAAGACUAUUAGUUUACACAGAACCUGAGGCAUUGUACCCCAAGGCUAUGUCAGAAGUCAACUCCCUGAAUUUCAAAACAUAUAUGGUUCCAGGACACCAAUGAUUAUAACCAAUUAUAAACGCACACGCAGACAUGUUUGUAUGCAUACAUGUAUGGUUUCAUCCAAUGGUUUAAAUGCAGCUCUAGUGGAUCUGUUGAUAGCCAAGACUAAGAGUUGGGAAGAAGAAAGAACAAAGGUUUUCUUGUAUGAUGAGGUAAGAUAUUCUAUUUCUUGUAAGUACGUCUUUGAGAUGAUAUUCUUUCAUAUAAUUAUAUUCUGGAACCCAGAGCACCUUAGAAUGUCUGAACCACCUAACUAUUCUAAUAUGGACUUCAAAACUGACAUCAACAAAGAAUGUACAUAUUGAAAAUUGUUUUAUAGGAACCUACUUUAAAACUUUUUUCCUCAUCAUGUUCUUGGAAUAAGUAGAUCCAGUUCAUUCCUUGCACCAGGAAGUAACAAUAUCUUAGUUUACUCGAAUCCUGUCACAAAUUAUUACUUAUCUAACUGAUAAGUGAAGGAACGAUCCAAACAUAAUAUUUGCUUCAUCUAGAAAGCUCAUCAAGUCUAACAUGCAGGUUUUCUGUUCUGGAAAUGUUAUGUAGUUAUCAAUUUUUCUAAAAUUGUCAGGCAAAUGCAAAUUAUAUAUGGUCAAGCAAUCUGCAAUUCUACCCUGAUAAACCAAAUUUGAUCUUACAUGGGAAAUGAUAGCUUUCAUUAUCCAGGUGCCUCUGCUAGCAAUGUUAGAAGAGUACAAUUUGUCAAGGCAGGAAAGAGAAGAAGAGAAGCAAAGACAAAGGGUUAGUAUCAAGUGACACUGCAAAACACAGUAGUUCUGAUAUUUGUGAAGAACAUGCAGAGAUCACAUUCUUUCUUGAUCUAUUUAUAUUUCUCUCCUAUUGCUUUUGUAAUGUUAGUAUUUUACCCACAUGAAAAAUUAAAUCCACCUUCCACAAUUACCUCUUUAUUCUUACGAAAUAUGUGAUGAGGUGGCUUCUCCUCCACAGGAGAAGAAGAAAGUGCAAAGCCAAGUGGUAGUUGAACAAGAAAAUUUGUUUGGGUCCAGGCCAAGCACCAGCAGUCGCCGCCUUUCAAACAUGAG
RNAcentral lists this long non-coding RNA (2917 nucleotides) under Vitis vinifera (wine grape). RNAcentral describes it as "long non-coding RNA (VVIN_LNC000289)". The record is from RNAcentral. Lineage: Eukaryota; Viridiplantae; Streptophyta; Magnoliopsida; Vitales; Vitaceae.